GCCAAUGAUGAAUUUAGAAUUGCAUGAACAAGUCUAGUAAGGAUUGUUGAGUCAGUGAUAUGAUUUUCUUGACAUGAAUUGAAUCUUUAUCUGAUUGACACUGAUAUUAUAGGAAAGCACUUUGAAAAAUGACCAUGUUGGCUAUGAUAGUUUAAAUGGUUAGAUAAUAGAGUUCUAAAGGAUCAUUGCUAGUGAAGUGAAAGGAUAAUUUGAAUAGCUAGUGAAGACGAAAUUUAUACAUAAACUCGAGUUUGGGGGAAAAAUAUUUGGAAUAUAUAAGCG
RNAcentral lists this long non-coding RNA (282 nucleotides) under Panax ginseng (ginseng). RNAcentral describes it as "long non-coding RNA (PGIN_LNC007813)". The record is from RNAcentral. Lineage: Eukaryota; Viridiplantae; Streptophyta; Magnoliopsida; Apiales; Araliaceae.